Molecule: ribosomal RNA, 460 nt
Filed under: uncultured bacterium
Lineage: Bacteria
Description: partial 16S ribosomal RNA
Rfam family: Bacterial small subunit ribosomal RNA
Source: RNAcentral
CCUACGGGAGGCUGCAGUGAGGAAUAUUGGUCAAUGGACGAGAGUCUGACCCAGCCAAGUAGCGUGAAGGAUGACUGCCCUAUGGGUUGUAAACUUCUUUUAUAUGAGAAUAAAAUGUUCCACGUGUGGGAUUUUGUAUGUACCAUAUGAAUAAGGAUCGGCUAACUCCGUGCCAGCAGCCGCGGUAAUACGGAGGAUCCGAGCGUUAUCCGGAUUUAUUGGGUUUAAAGGGAGCGUAGGUGGAUUGUUAAGUCAGUUGUGAAAGUUUGCGGCUCAACCGUAAAAUUGCAGUUGAAACUGGCAGUCAUGAGUACAGUAGAGGUGGGCGGAAUUCGUGGGGUAGCGGUGAGAUGCUUAGAUAUCACGAAGAACUCCGAUUGCGAAGGCAGCUCACUGGACUGCAACUGACACCGAGGCUCGAAAGUGUGGGUAUCAAACAGGAUUAGAUACCCUAGUAGUC